Molecule: ribosomal RNA, 397 nt
Filed under: uncultured bacterium
Lineage: Bacteria
Description: partial 16S ribosomal RNA
Rfam family: Bacterial small subunit ribosomal RNA
Source: RNAcentral
AAUCUUGCACAAUGGGCGAAAGCCUGAUGCAGCGACGCCGCGUGAGUGAAGAGGUACCUCGGUAUGUAAAGCUCUAUCAGCAGGGACGAUAAUGACGGUACCUGACUACGAAGCCCCGGCUAACUUCGUCCCAGCCGCCGCGGUAAUACGUAGGGGGCAAGCGUUAUCCGGAUUUACUGGGUGUAAAGGGAGCGUAGGUGGUAGUGCAAGUCAGAUGUGAAAGCCCGUUGCUUAACAGCGGGAUUGCAUCAGAAACUGUAUUACUAGAGUACAGGAGAGGUAAGUGGAAUUCCUAGUGUAGCGGUGAAAUGCGUAGAUAUUAGGAGGAACAACAGUGGCGAAGGCGGCUUACUGGACUGUAACUGACACUAAGGCUCGAAAGCGUGGGGAGCAAACA